CUGCUCCCCAGAGAUGGACCGUGCAUCUUCUGUGUUACUCACGACAGUUCGGCACUGAAUUUCCUUGAAAGAAAGGAUGGUUGCAGUUUAGAAAAGCAAAGCAGGCCUAGGGCAAGGAGAAAAUGGCAUCCAAUUGGACAGCAGUUGAUACUGGAAAAGAAGAGUCCAGCCCAAGUGAGCGUCUGGGCUCCUUUCUGUGACAGACGUCACCCUCCCAGCCAGCCUGCCAGUGCCCCAGCAGCAUAUGCUGUAAUCUGGAAGAUGCGGUUUCUAGUUACCAACCUGAUAACUCUCUGCAGCAUGAAAAUGAAGUGACUUAUGUCAGGAGAGAUGCCUUAAGGACUUGGUAAAAGUCACCUCUCUCUGUGCUGAGGCUGGCUUCAGAUUUCUCUCUUGUAUCAUGAGAAAUUAGAACUGGAAAAAAAGAAAGAUUCAAGGUCUUCAAAUGCUAUAUUCAGCCAAGAAGUGAUACACUUGUGAAGACUGAAAGACUGCCUAACUUGACAAGAAUAACACCCAUGAACACUGUCUGAAACAAACUUAAUAGAAGACAUAUAGCUAUUCUAUAGAAUCAGGCUCUGAAUGUUAUAAUUUUUAGAAAAAGUGAUAUUUCACUAGAGAAUAAGUAAUUUACCCAAAAUAGACUUCAAUCAAAACCAAGAGUUUGGACCUGGGAGUGAAAACUGGACAUUUACCAUAACUAUACCAGUUAUGGUUCACAAAAGCUAGUAAAGUGAUUAAAAGCCUAGUUUUAAUCCCAUUUUAGUACUGUUACAUUCGUGAUCCUGAGUGCAUUACUAAAAACUCUGUGGUAGGACUCCUUAUUUAUAUUGAAUAAUACUGAAUCUGCCUCAAUAAUACUGAUUGCCAUGACAUGAGAUGUAUUCAUUCAUGUGAAGUUCUGAGAACAGGGUCUGGUUACACCAACAUGAAAUUGCUAUAAUUAUUGUUACCGCUGCAAGUACUAGGAAAUCAACAGAGAAUAUUGCAUUUUCCAGGAUGAUUACUCAGGAAAUAAGGGCUUGGCAGUGGGAUUUGUUGUAAUUUUUAUUCAAAAUAGUUUUCUUAUUUAUACUGUUUCAUUUCUUUCUGAAGUCAAUAUGUAUAUUUCUUAGUGAAUUUUAAUUAUAGAGAAAUUAAAACAAAUGC
RNAcentral lists this long non-coding RNA (1149 nucleotides) under Aotus nancymaae (Ma's night monkey). RNAcentral's name for it is "lncRNA (ENSANAG00000038897.1)". Lineage: Eukaryota; Metazoa; Chordata; Mammalia; Primates; Aotidae. The record is from RNAcentral.